Molecule: unclassified non-coding RNA, 351 nt
Filed under: soil metagenome
Description: partial contains 5.8S ribosomal RNA, internal transcribed spacer 2, and large subunit ribosomal RNA
Rfam family: 5.8S ribosomal RNA (bases 3-119)
Source: RNAcentral
GAGAAGAACGUAGCGAAAUGCGAUAAGUAAUGUGAAUUGCAGAAUUCAGUGAAUCAUCGAAUCUUUGAACGCACAUUGCGCCCGCCAGUAUUCUGGCGGGCAUGCCUGUUCGAGCGUCAUUACAACCCUCAGGCCCCCGGGCCUGGCGUUGGGGAUCGGCGGAAGCCCCCUGUGGGCACACGCCGUCCCUCAAAUACAGUGGCGGUCCCGCCGCAGCUUCCAUUGCGUAGUAGCUAACACCUCGCAACUGGAGAGCGGCGCGGCCAUGCCGUAAAACACCCAACUUCUGAAUGUUGACCUCGAAUCAGGUAGGAAUACCCGCUGAACUUAAGCAUAUCAAUAAGCGGAGGA